UUGCGCAAUGGAGGAAACUCUGACGCAGCCAUGCCGCGUGCAGGAUGAAUGCCCUAUGGGUUGUAAACUGCUUUUCUAGCAAGAAGAAACCUUAGUACGUGUACUAAGUUGACGGUACUGCAGGAAUAAGCACCGGCUAACUCCGUGCCAGCAGCCGCGGUAAUAU
Molecule: ribosomal RNA, 166 nt
Filed under: uncultured Bacteroidota bacterium
Lineage: Bacteria; Pseudomonadati; Bacteroidota
Description: uncultured Bacteroidetes bacterium partial 16S ribosomal RNA
Rfam family: Bacterial small subunit ribosomal RNA
Source: RNAcentral